GGAUAGGGGUUCUGAGAGGAAGGUCCCCCACAUUGGAACUGAGACACGGUCCAAACUCCUACGGGAGGCAGCAGUGAGGAAUAUUGGUCAAUGGGCGCGAGCCUGAACCAGACAAGUAGCGUGAAGGAUGACUGCCCUAUGGGUUGUAAACUUCUUUUAUACGGGAAUAAAGUCACUUACGUGUAAGUGUUUGUAUGUACCUUAUGAAUAAGCAUCGGCUAACUCCGUGCCAGCAGCCGCGGUAAUACGGAGGAUGCGAGCGUUAUCCGGAUUUAUUGGGUUUAAAGGGAGCGUAGAUGGGCUUUUAAGUCAGUUGUGAAAUUCUGCGGCUCAACCGUAGGACUGCAGUUGAAACUGGGAGCCUUGAGUGCAGUUGAGGUGCAUGGAAUUCGUGGUGUAGCGGUGAAAUGCUUAGAUAUCACGAAGAACUCCGAUUGCGAAGGCAGUGCACCAAGCUGUAACUGACAUUGAUGCUCGAAAGUGUGGGUAUCAAACAGGAUUAGAUACCCUGGUAGUCCACACGGUAAACGAUGAAUACUCGCUGUUGGCGAUACAUGGUCAGCGGCCAAGCGAAAGCAUUAAGUAUUCCACCUGGGGAGUAC
RNAcentral lists this ribosomal RNA (602 nucleotides) under uncultured bacterium. Its description in RNAcentral is "bacterial SSU rRNA". It matches the Rfam family "Bacterial small subunit ribosomal RNA", at positions 281 to 883 of the family's 1533-position model. The record is from RNAcentral.